GUGAGCGUGGCGGAAUGGUUACGCAAAGGAUUGCAAAUCCUUUUUAUGCAGGUUCGAGUCCUGUCGCUCACUCCA
RNAcentral lists this transfer RNA (75 nucleotides) under Planktomarina sp. Its description in RNAcentral is "tRNA-Cys". It matches the Rfam family "tRNA". Rfam says of the family: Transfer RNA (tRNA) molecules are approximately 80 nucleotides in length. Their secondary structure includes four short double-helical elements and three loops (D, anti-codon, and T loops). Further hydrogen bonds mediate the characteristic L-shaped molecular structure. tRNAs have two regions of fundamental functional importance: the anti-codon, which is responsible for specific mRNA codon recognition, and the 3' end, to which the tRNAs corresponding amino acid is attached (by aminoacyl-tRNA synthetases). tRNAs cope with the degeneracy of the genetic code in two manners: having more than one tRNA (with a specific anti-codon) for a particular amino acid; and 'wobble' base-pairing, i.e. permitting non-standard base-pairing at the 3rd anti-codon position. The record is from RNAcentral. Lineage: Bacteria; Pseudomonadati; Pseudomonadota; Alphaproteobacteria; Rhodobacterales; Paracoccaceae.